RNAcentral lists this ribosomal RNA (457 nucleotides) under uncultured bacterium. RNAcentral's name for it is "bacterial SSU rRNA". It matches the Rfam family "Bacterial small subunit ribosomal RNA", at positions 335 to 783 of the family's 1533-position model. The record is from RNAcentral.
ACUCCUACGGGAGGCAGCAGUGGGGAAUAUUGCACAAUGGGCGCAAGCCUGAUGCAGCCAUGCCGCGUGUGUGAAGAAGGCCUUCGGGUUGUAAAGCACUUUCAGUCGUGAGGAAGGUGGUAGUGUUAAUAGCACUAUCAUUUGUACGUUAGCGACAGAAGAAGCACCGGCUAACUCCGUGCCAGCAGCCGCGGUAAGUACGGAGGGUGCGAGCGUUAAUCGGUAAUUACGUGGGCGUAAAGCGCAUGCAGGUGGUUUGUUAAGUCAGAUGUGAAAGCCCGGGGCUCAACCUCGGAAUAGCAUUUGAAACUGGCAGACUAGAGUACUGUAGAGGGGGUAGAAUUUCAGGUGUAGCGGUGAAAUGCGUAGAGAUCUGAAGGAAUACCGGUGGCGAAGGCGGCCCCUGGACAGAUACUGACACUCAGAUGCGAAAGCGUGGGAGCAAACAGGAUUAGAU